UUUCUGGACGUCGUGGGAAGUUCCGACGUGUCAAGUGCAAGCAACAUGUGGUGUGUUGGCCGUGGUAACAAUCUCCAGAUCGAGAAGCUGUGAUGCACCAGCUAACGGGGUGUCCUGCUCUGUUUCCCUCACAGAGACAAGAGCCUUCCGCUGUGGAGCUGAACAAUGUCCUGCGUGGUCAACAUUAACUGGAGGCAUCCUGGUCGGUGUGGUUAUACUCCUGGGGAUUCUGCUCAUAUUUAUCAUAGUUGGAAUUUUGUGGUGCGUGUGUUGCCGCAAGGAUGAGGUCCGUUACAAGGAAGAAAACAUCCGCCAGAGUGAGUUCCACCAGUACCACAAUGUCAAAUCUGGCUUUCUGAAACCACCGUAUUACAAUCUCGAGAAAUAGACACUUUAUUGGCCUCAUGUGUAGUUGACCUGGUACUCUGCUCUAACGGAACAAGGUUCAAGCAGUAUGACUGAUAUAGAAGUGAAUCUUGUCAACUGUCUCUGUGAUAUUUGUCUGUUUCGAGAAUCUGUCAUCGCUUAUUUAGCAAACUGUUACGCCAUUAUGGUUUGCCAAUUUAUGUUUUAUCUGAAACUUGGACAAAAUAAAUGAAUUCCGGAAUAUCGUCUGAUAUUGUAUAUAUACGAGCUUCGUCUUCUUUUGUACAUUUUAUAUCUAAUUUAUUGAACUACCACGUGUAGUCUAUAUGUGCCAAGUAUUUCGGAAACUUAACACGGUUCUUCUCGUUGGUGGGGAUUACUUAAAGCAAGAUAGUUCCGUCUAAAUAUGAUACGAAAUACUGAUACAGUUUCGUUGAAGAAGAAAUGAUAAUCAUUUGUAGAUGUUUCACGCAAAUUGUUAGAAUAACCUUUACCAUGUAUAUAUUUAGAUACAUAUAUGCCUGGACCUACCGAGUUACUCAUUAUUACUAUUAAAAUGUAUAAUCCAAUUAUUAUUAGUAUCAUUAUUUAUAAUCUAAUUUGGUAACAAUAAUAACAAACAAUAUGAUUUCAAAUUCAUAUAGAUUAUGUUUGACUUCAUGGAUAGGUGAUAUAGAGAUGGAGUAAGAAAUGAUACUGAUAUGGAAGUGAACCUUGUCAAUAUCCUCUGUUAUGCUUUCCCUGCUGGUUCCGGGAUCCGUAUAUUAGAGAAUUGUUAUGUCAUGUAUCUGAUGUUUGGUAAACGAAAACCAAGCGGAUUCCAAAGAAACUAUUUGUGUCAUCGAAAAGUAACAGUGCGUACUACAGAUCAAGAAAUUAGUUCAUGAAAACGUUAAAUGGGUCUUUAUUAAGAUAUUUAUUUUCGAUGUUUAUUUUCUAUAUUUUGGACAUUGUAAGGUUUCCUCGUUAGUCCUACCAAAGAAAACGAUGAGUAUGUCUAUUAUGUUAUACAUUGUUUUUUUGCCGUCAAUAAACUCUGUCUCAAUGUCUUCAGUUUUUCAAUGUAUGUGGAACCUUCUCCGAGUUCCGGCGUGUAAGA
This is a long non-coding RNA of Haliotis rubra (blacklip abalone), 1465 nucleotides long. RefSeq lists it as uncharacterized. The record is from RefSeq and is a predicted model, not a curated record. The transcript is spliced from 3 exons. Lineage: Eukaryota; Metazoa; Mollusca; Gastropoda; Lepetellida; Haliotidae.